AACACAGCAGUUAAUGUAGGCCCAGGAGACCCCGCUGCACAUCAUUGCCAGGGGGAAGGAGGGGGAAAGGUGGCUGAGAUGCUGCCGAAGAGCGGGGCUGAUGUCAACGCAGAGCACGAGAUUGGGGAGACAGCGAUGCAUGUUGCGGCUCACCAUGGAGGACUGCAGAUGAUAAGAGCCCUGAUAGAGGAGGGAAGUGACCUCACCAGGAGAUAUUAUGUAGAACACUGCUUUUCUGUGUCAUACCAGUGUAACAUUGACAUAUAAUACACCACGUUUUGUGUGUGUGUGAUAGGCUGGAGAGAACCCUCACCGUGUCGCUGUGCGACACUGUCACGCCCAUGUGGUGGAGGAGAUCCUCACCUAUGUGUCCGAAUGAGAGAAGCUGUGAGGAGGCCCAGUGCUGUGUGAGCCAGGGCAACAAGGUGAGACUUCCCCAGAAAUGUCAACGUCUUGUCAAGUGCUCAAAUCUGUACAGCAGCCCCAGACAAUCAUGUACAGCAGCUCCAAUUUACAAGAAUGGGUUUACAAGGCAGUGAUGAAAACAUUUUAUAUGAUCGCUAAUUCAAACAUACUGUUGUUACAAAAUCACUUCUCAUUUUGUUCAUUUCAAGCUUUCACAAACAUAAAACAACUAUCUAGUUAAUAAUGUUUCUCGAACUAACACACUGUUGAGUUUCCUGUUUACUAAAGAUCAGUCAUUAAGACAAAACACAAAGAGUUGGAAUAUAAUCUGUAUACAUGUCAUUCUAUUCUGAAAUCAGGUACAUUCUGAAACAUUUUGAUGAUGUUGAUGUGAUAACACAUUUUUUAUUCAUCUCUCAAUUUAGGAUAAUACCGUUUAGGGUUUUUACUUUACUUAAAUUGUAUUAUUAAUGUAGUCUCAUACCAUGCUAAUCCACUACCAAGCAAUGUAAACAGAUGUGGAAUUAACCCCAUAACAGGUGUGUGUCUUUUUGGAUCAAGAAUUGAUCAAGAAUACUAAUAGGCUUGAUCAGAUCCUCUUUCAUAUGUUGGCAUCAUAUAAUGCACAGCCACAUGCA
This is a long non-coding RNA of Oncorhynchus tshawytscha (Chinook salmon), 1043 nucleotides long. RefSeq lists it as uncharacterized. NCBI's taxonomy places the organism in Eukaryota, Metazoa, Chordata, Actinopteri, Salmoniformes, Salmonidae. The record is from RefSeq and is a predicted model, not a curated record. The transcript is spliced from 3 exons.